AGGUGCCCCGUCUAACCCAUGCAAGUCGAGCGGUGAGAGGAGCUUGCUCCUCGAUUUACCGGCGGACGGGUGAGUAAUGCCUAGGAAUCUGCCUAGUAGUGGGGGACAACGUUUCGAAAGGAACGCUAAUACCGCAUACGUCCUACGGGAGAAAGUGGGGGAUCUUCGGACCUCACGCUAUUAGAUGAGCCUAGGUCGGAUUAGCUAGUUGGUAGGGUAAAGGCCUACCAAGGCGACGAUCCGUAACUGGUCUGAGAGGAUGAUCAGUCACACUGGAACUGAGACACGGUCCAGACUCCUACGGGAGGCAGCAGUGGGGAAUAUUGGACAAUGGGCGAAAGCCUGAUCCAGCCAUGCCGCGUGUGUGAAGAAGGCCUUCGGGUCGUAAAGCACUUUAAGUUGGGAGGAAGGGCUCAUAGCGAAUACCUGUGAGUUUUGACGUUACCAACAGAAUAAGCACCGGCUAACUUCGUGCCAGCAGCCGCGGUAAUACGAAGGGUGCAAGCGUUAAUCGGAAUUACUGGGCGUAAAGCGCGCGUAGGUGGCUUGAUAAGUUGGAUGUGAAAUCCCCGGGCUCAACCUGGGAACUGCAUCCAAAACUGUCUGGCUAGAGUGCGGUAGAGGGUAGUGGAAUUUCCAGUGUAGCGGUGAAAUGCGUAGAUAUUGGAAGGAACCACCAGUGGCGAAGGCGACUACCUGGGACUGACACUGACACUGAGGUGCGAAAACCGUGGGGAGCA
This 740-nucleotide ribosomal RNA is filed under the name Pseudomonas oryzihabitans. Its description in RNAcentral is "bacterial SSU rRNA". It matches the Rfam family "Bacterial small subunit ribosomal RNA", at positions 37 to 770 of the family's 1533-position model. The record is from RNAcentral. Lineage: Bacteria; Pseudomonadati; Pseudomonadota; Gammaproteobacteria; Pseudomonadales; Pseudomonadaceae.